This 501-nucleotide ribosomal RNA is filed under the name uncultured bacterium. RNAcentral's name for it is "partial 16S ribosomal RNA". It matches the Rfam family "Bacterial small subunit ribosomal RNA", at positions 30 to 523 of the family's 1533-position model. The record is from RNAcentral.
AUUGAACGCUGGCGGCAGGCUUAACACAUGCAAGUCGAGCGGAGAGAGGUAGCUUGCUACUGAUCUUAGCGGCGGACGGGUGAGUAAUGCUUAGGAAUCUGCCUAUUAGUGGGGGACAACAUUUCGAAAGGAAUGCUAAUACCGCAUACGUCCUACGGGAGAAAGCAGGGGAUCUUCGGACCUUGCGCUAAUAGAUGAGCCUAAGUCGGAUUAGCUAGUUGGUGGGGUAAAGGCCUACCAAGGCGACGAUCUUUAGCGGGUCUGAGAGGAUGGUCCGCCACACUGGGACUGAGACACGGCCCAGAAUCCUACGGGAGGCAGCAGUGGGGAAUAUUGGACAAUGGGCGCAAGCCUGAUCCAGCCAUGCCGCGUGUGUGAAGAAGGCCUUAUGGUUGUAAAGCACUUUAAGCGAGGAGGAGGCUACUUUAGUUAAUACCUAGAGAUAGUGGACGUUACUCGCAGAAUAAGCACCGGCUAACUCUGUGCCAGCCGCCGCAGUAA